AGCAGCCGCGGUAAUUCCAGCUCCAAUAGCGUAUAUUAAAGUUGUUGCAGUUAAAAAGCUCGUAGUUGAACCUUGGGCCUGGCUGGCCGGUCCGCCUCACCGCGUGCACUGGUCCGGCCGGGCCUUUCCCUCUGUGGAACCCCAUGCCCUUCACUGGGUGUGGCGGGGAAACAGGACUUUUACUUUGAAAAAAUUAGAGUGCCCCAGGCAGGCCUAUGCUCGAAUACAUUAGCAUGGAAUAAUGAAAUAGGACGUGCGGUUCUAUUUUGUUGGUUUCUAGGACCGCCGUAAUGAUUAAUAGGGACAGUCGGGGGCAUCAGUAUUCAAUUGUCAGAGGUGAAAUUCUUGGAUUUAUUGAAGACUAACUACUGCGAAAGCAUUUGCCAAGGAUGUUUUCAUUAAUCAGGAACGAAAGUUAGGGGAUCGAAGACGAUCAGAUACCGUCGUAGUCUUAACCAUAAACUAUGCCGACUAGGGAUCGGAUGAUGUUAAUUUUAUAAUGACUCA
RNAcentral lists this ribosomal RNA (507 nucleotides) under uncultured Neonectria. RNAcentral describes it as "SSU rRNA". It matches the Rfam family "Eukaryotic small subunit ribosomal RNA", at positions 569 to 1078 of the family's 1831-position model. Lineage: Eukaryota; Fungi; Ascomycota; Sordariomycetes; Hypocreales; Nectriaceae. The record is from RNAcentral.